Molecule: long non-coding RNA, 289 nt
Organism: Tupaia belangeri chinensis (Chinese tree shrew)
Lineage: Eukaryota; Metazoa; Chordata; Mammalia; Scandentia; Tupaiidae
Exons: 3
Source: RefSeq, a predicted model, not a curated record
CCCGAUUUCUUUCUGCAGCUAACCUCCUGACACGUUUGCAGCUGUUCUGAGGCAGAAAGACAAUCUCCGUGUUCAGGCGAAUCCAAGCCACUGGAAAGCAGGAUAUGCCUAAUCUCAAAAUUUUACCCGAAAGAAAAAAGAUACAUUUGUGAUGGAAAGCAGAAAGACAUUACCCUUGACCAAACAGUCUAACUUAUCACCAAAGAUGGCACAAACCGUUUUAGGGUCUCUGACCGCCUUUUUAGGACUACAAGCAACACUCUUGCCAGUUCCCGGAACAGCGCUUGGU